CCUACGGGGGGCAGCAGUGAGGAAUAUUGGUCAAUGGACGAGAGUCUGAACCAGCCAAGUAGCGUGAAGGAUGACUGCCCUAUGGGUUGUAAACUUCUUUUAUAUGGGAAUAAAAUGUUCCACGUGUGGGAUUUUGUAUGUACCAUAUGAAUAAGGCUCGGCUAACUCCGUGCCAGCAGCCGCGGUAAUACGGAGGAUCCGAGCGUUAUCCGGAUUUAUUGGGGUUAAAGGGAGCGUAGGUGGAUUGUUAAGUCAGUUGUGAAAGUUUGCGGCUCAACCGUAAAAUUGCAGUUGAAACUGGCAGUCGUGAGUACAGUAGAGGUGGGCGGAAUUCGUGGUGUAGCGGUGAAAUGCUUAGAUAUCACGAAGAACUCCGAUUGCGAAGGCAGCUCACUGGACUGCAACUGACACUGAGGCUCGAAAGUGUGGGUAUCAAACAGGAUUAGAUACCCUUGUAGUC
Molecule: ribosomal RNA, 460 nt
Filed under: uncultured bacterium
Lineage: Bacteria
Description: partial 16S ribosomal RNA
Rfam family: Bacterial small subunit ribosomal RNA
Source: RNAcentral